This is an unclassified non-coding RNA of Ursus americanus (American black bear), 92 nucleotides long. It matches the Rfam family "Y RNA". From Rfam's summary of the family: Y RNAs are components of the Ro ribonucleoprotein particle (Ro RNP), in association with Ro60 and La proteins. The record is from Ensembl. Lineage: Eukaryota; Metazoa; Chordata; Mammalia; Carnivora; Ursidae.
GGCUGGUCCGAAGGUAGUGAAUUAUUUCAGUUGAUUUUUCACAGUUCCGUGUUCUACUCUUUCCCCAUCCUCACUACUGCACUUGACUUAAA